This is a long non-coding RNA of Anthonomus grandis grandis, 3306 nucleotides long. RefSeq lists it as uncharacterized. The record is from RefSeq and is a predicted model, not a curated record. The transcript is spliced from 3 exons. NCBI's taxonomy places the organism in Eukaryota, Metazoa, Arthropoda, Insecta, Coleoptera, Curculionidae.
UCUAAAUUGACAUAUUUCUUUUUUUUAAAGAAGUUAUUAAAGGUGGUUUAUUUUAAAAAAAAGCACUGUAUAUAAAAAUAUAAGAAUCUCCGAGCAUACACAAAGUCACCAGGACAGUUUUUGCACUGAAUUAGAUCUUUUUGGAAUCAGAGGGAUGAUUCCACAUAAGUAUUCGGUAGAAAACAGAAUAUAAUUAAAAAAUCAGAAGUUGCAUCAAACAUCUGCAAACGGCAGGAGUGCAAUACGCAGUAAGAUUAAAACAUUGAUAAGUUAACUGAGAUCUGGGAGAGUGGUUCUUUUGCAGAAAUAAUACGGUUUGAGGAUUUGCGAACUUUUGUGAGGCACUAACACUUGUUGGAGGAGUUUGAUAUAAAGCAGCUCUCUUAGGAUUAGCACCAUGCAAUGUAUCUGAUUAAGCAAGAACCAAUUUGAGCAAAACCAAUCUGAAUGAGAGUGCACUCAAGAGAUUGCAAGAUUGUUGAGUCGUCCGCAAAUUUGUCUCAUUAAAUGGAAGAUUUUUUAUAUAUAUAACAAUUGGAAUGGGAUCAAGUAUGGAUCUUUAUGGAAUCCCAAUAUUAACCACUCUGUCUCUCUAACCGACGGUCCUUAAGAUAGGAUUUAUGCGACGAACGAAGAAAUUAUUAAGCAUCAACUUCUUUAGAAGGAUAUCAUGGGUAACACAGCUAAAGUCAUGCUUAAACUUCAGAAUAGAGCAGGGAUGGACAAAUCACAUACGAACAACAAAAGAUCCUGAAGACCAUCGAGGAAUACUACAAAGUAAUAAAUGAUCGAGAUAAUUCCAUUCAAGAGAUACAAGUUCUAGUUAUACAGGAUUAAGAAUCUGAGGAACUUCCAGAUAUAACUAAAGAGGAGAUUGGUUUGAGUCAGCCAUAAAAACUAUGAAGGACAAAAAAGCACCGGGAGAAGAGAGCAUUGUGAUUCAAAUGAAAAAAACAAGGAUUUAAACGCGUUAUGAAAGAAACCCUAUAAACUCUAUAAUACAUACAUCUUUAUAGGAAAUAUACCAAAACAAUGGAAUAAUUGCAUUAAUAUAGAAAUGAAAACAUAACAGAAGUUAGAAACUACCGACCUCUCACUAAUAUCUCACUUAUAUAGGGUGUUCCAAAAAUCAGCGAUAAGCUGAAAACCGGCAAUAGACUAGGUGCCCAGGGAUUAAAAAAAAUAUUUAAAAAAAUCUAGGUUAAGUACUUUUAAAAUGUCCUGGAAAAAAAAAUUACUUCACUAUUUGGCAAGUGAUUUCAGAAGUUGGCGUAUCUAAUCUAGAUUUCAAAAUGCUAAGAUACUUGCUAAAUUAUUGGUUCAACAAAGGUGUAUUUUUUACAUGAAAUGUAUGCCAGUACUCUACGCUAAGUUAUUAAUUAUACAUUCAAAAUAAAACUUUACUUAAGUCGCAACUAAUGUUCAAAUUGUCUGCCUCCAUUCCUGAUACGACGUUUUAAACGGGAUUAGUGUAUACGAUUUCUUAAUCUUUAUCACUUUUUAUUAAUUAUGGUUUCCUGUAAAGUAGGGAAAUUUAAAUAAAUUAUUUAAAUUAGGUGAACAUGGCGCCAGGCUUUCUUCUAUCCCGCCCUAUCUACCUGUACGGGUAUUCCCUAUUCAGAAAUACCCCUACAGGGUAAGUAAGACAGGUGGUGAUAUAACUUAGGUCAUUAAUUAAGACUUUUGCUACUGCAGUACUUUGCUAUCCUACGUUUACUACGCAUCUUUCUGUAUUAUUGUUGAUUAUUUUGACUUUUCUGGACUAUCAAUAACCAUAUGAUUAUUUAGUUAGUAAAUAAAACCAUGCCAGAUCGUCAUACUGUGCGGGAAUAUGCUUAUAUAUAUAUCUCAUCUAUAGAGAAUAUCGAUGCAAUGGUAAUGCUGCCGCUAGACUGUAUCAUCAAAGGUACCCAAGUAAAGAGCGUUAUCCAAAUUACUGAGUAUUUCUAAAUAUGCAUCUAUUACUUCUAGAGGGCCGAUUCUCAAAUCAAAUGAGUGGUGCAGGCAGAACGCGCUUGUCCUACGAGGCCGAAGUCUUAUAAGAAGUUGCACGUGAUCCGAGUACCUCAGUACGUGAAGUAAAAUCAAGGACAGGCAUGUUUAAGAGUUCGGCACACUGAAUAUUGAAAAAAAAAACAGUAACUCCAUACCACUUACAACAAGUACAAAGUUUACUACCUCGAGACUACCCGGCAAGACUAGAAUUUUAUCAAAUAAUGUUGUAAAGACAUAGAGAAGAUUCGCGAUUCUUGGAAAGAAUUCUAUGGUUCGAUAAAUCGACUUUUAAGAGGGAUGGAUUCAUAAAUUACCACAACAUAUAUGAGUGGCAUGUGGGAAAUCCAUACUAAAACCGAGAGGACCGGUCACAAUACCAGACAGGUAAGAGCCAAAGAGGUAAUAAAUAAAAUUCAAGUAGCACAGAGAGCGAUAGAGAGAUUAAUUAAUGUUGAAUUUAUCCGUCAGAGACAUCCCAAAUGAUACUUACCAAAUAAAAAGUAUGGAAAGAACUGGUAAUACGAACGCAGUUAAAUAGUUUACAAUACUGAAAUGAUACUGGGCAGACAAUGUUGCCAGAGCGAAAGAUCGAACAUGGACAAUUCUAUAAUUUUCUUUCUAUAUGAUGCAUACAUAAACCGAGGACGUCCUCCAACGAGAUGGUCGGACGAUAUCAAGCUCAUCCAUCACUGAAUGCAAAGUACUCAAGAUCGGAAGCAAUGGAAUGGUUUACGAGAUGUGCACCAGUGAACUCAAAGCAGCUAUUGAUGAUGAUGAUACUCGUUAUUCGUCCAAGAUAUACAAAAAUAUUAGAAUUUGUCCAAUACUUAACAGAAAUACCCAUUAUUUAAUUUUGAUUUAACUUUGACACAUUUGAUGCACUCACUAUUGUGAAAUUGCAUUCAACCAUUGACUUCGGCACCACGGAAAAUUUAGCCAUUUGGCCUAAAUCCGCUUUUAAAUUUAGAAAAUAUGUAUUUGAUAUUUUUUAGGCCUGUUUGAAGAAAAAAACUAAAAACAAUUAAUUUUAUUAUUUUUUGUACAGAGAAAAUUCAAGAUAAAUUAUUAAACUUAAAAGAAAAUAAAACUUUAAAACUUUUUAAUUUUUUUUUAAUUAUUGGGAAGAUUCCAAGUAAAUUAUUAAAGUUACAGUUUUUGCCCUGAUUCUACAACUAUCCACUAAAUUAUUAAUUUAAGGACGUAAAUUAUCUCAGUAGCACAUAAUUAUUUUUUGAUCCUGGGCUUGUAUUCUUAUAAAGAAGUUUGCUAUUACUCUUCCUAUAUCAACUCAAUAAUUCUAUUUAUUUGUUA